This 327-nucleotide ribosomal RNA is filed under the name uncultured eukaryote. RNAcentral's name for it is "partial 18S ribosomal RNA". It matches the Rfam family "Eukaryotic small subunit ribosomal RNA", at positions 1470 to 1796 of the family's 1831-position model. The record is from RNAcentral.
CCCUUAGAUGUUCUGGGCCGCACGCGCGCUACACUGAUUCAUGCAACAAGUUUUGUCCUUGGCUGAUAGGCCUGGGUAAUCUUUGAACGUGAAUCGUGAUGGGGAUAGAUGAUUGCAAUUAUUCAUCUUCAACGAGGAAUUCCUAGUAAACGCAAGUCAUCAGCUUGCAUUGAUUACGUCCCUGCCUUUUGUACACACCGCCCGUCGCACCUACCGAUUGAAUGGUCCGGUGAAAUCUUCGGAUCUGAGAGAUGUCUGAUUAAUUUCGGACGCCUUUUGGAAAAGUUGUUUAAACCUUACCAUUUAGAGGAAGGUGAAGUCGUAACA